Molecule: long non-coding RNA, 10879 nt
Filed under: Salvia miltiorrhiza (redroot sage)
Lineage: Eukaryota; Viridiplantae; Streptophyta; Magnoliopsida; Lamiales; Lamiaceae
Description: long non-coding RNA (SMIL_LNC008342)
Source: RNAcentral
AAUAAUAAAUGAAAGAAGCAGAAAAUGAUACCUCAUUCAUUCCUAAAGUGACAACCUUUUCCUCCAACGCACCAACCUCCUUAACAUUAAACUUGUUGAGCAGAGCUAUGCUGGAGAUGGUAGACAUGGGCUUGAUCUCCAAAUCAUCCAUCACCAUGUAUGUCACCACCCCCUUCACCAAACCGCCGCCUUCCGCGGCCUCUACCACCGCGGGAGGAGCCACAUAGGUUAUAGUCGAGCUCAGAACCCCACGGCAUGAAGGACAAGUGGCGCGGGGGCCAUCAGAAAAAUAAUUGCGACAACUGCUACUGUAAUUAUAAUUGCUGCACGUGUAAAAUUUCCUCUGAUCAAUUUGAGAAGCGGUGAGGGGCAGAAGCGGAACUGAGGAACUGGAGACCGGCGCCGCCGGUUUCAGAAACGCCUCCUUGUUCUUGCCCGGCAGUAUGUAGGUGUCGUUGAGAUCUUCUAAGCUUUUGAAGAGGUUGGGGAGAGAGCCCUCCAUUCCUUCCUCUCUGAGAAGGCUGAUGACGGUGGCAAGCGGCGCAGACAGUAUGUGGAAGAGGAAAUCCACGCAGUCUUUGCCGGCCUCCGCGAACAAGACGCGUCUCACUUUGCUAGUGUCGAUCAACAGCUUCAUGCUCACCGUCGGAUUCGCCAUUAAUCUUUUUGUGUAUCUGAUGGCUUGAUCUUCUUCUUGGGUGGGUUACUCUAUUUCAACUCACCAUUCAUUUAUAUAUAGAGGCUGGCAAACUAGUUCCAUCGGAUUGGUGCAGAUGAAAAGCUUAGUGAAGUAAUAAUGCUUGCGUUUCUAUUUAAUUAUCAUAAAUUCAUAUCCCUCUGCAAUCAUGAGAGAAAUUGGGUUUCCGUUACUGUUGAUAAAUAUUAAGGGAAAUUGUAUGGAGCCAUAAUUAUAGCUGCCAUAAAUACCCUUCAAAUAUUAAUGAUCUAAUUUGAACACUAAUUUGUCCUCCAUUCAACCCAAACGAUUUUCCCAACCCUAAUUCACACAAUUAUUUUAGGAAAUGAUUCCUAUUGAAAUAAACGGUUUUUUCCCCUUAUUUAAAUCAACAACUAUUUUUCAGUACCCUAAAAAAAUAGUUGAAAUUUUUAGGAAUUAAAUUUCUUAUCUCAAACCUUGCCACCCCAUAUUCAACAAAGCAAAACCAAAAGAAAAAGUGGUUGUCUGCCACUAGGCUAAAAGUGGUUGUCUGCCACCAACAGGCUAUAACAAAUGUAGUAUUAUUUCAAAUUAAAAUGUACUCCCUCCGUCCCAGUAAUGUUGUCCCCUUUCUUUUGGGCACGGAGAUUAAGGAGUGUAAAAUUAGUAUUGUAAAAUAAAAGGUCCCACAUGUUUAAGGAAAAGCAAGUAUAGCUUAAGCCCCUCCCCAAACAUGUCUCUCUCUCUCGGCACUCUCUCCCUCAACAUACACUAUGCAGACGCCGCGCCGCCGGCGACACCAUGUUUAUCUCCGGCGACGGCAACAGUAGGUGGAGCAACCUCUCUGAUUCCGCCGAGCAGCAGUGGGAGCAGCCACUGCCGGUCCCAGCCCCCUGUUCUCCCUUUGUCUCUACCAUUUCUCAACUCCGCCCCUCUCCCUUGUCUCCGGCGACCGCUACGAAGCCACAGAGAUACAAGGAAGACUCUUAUAAACAGAAAAUUGAAACACAGAAGGCCCAAAAUUCGGCGACCGCAUGACUAGAAGGUCGCCGUCGUCGCCGCCGCCGAGCCUCAAAUCUCCAGUCUACUUUUCCCUUCAUUCGAGCCCACCAAAGAUAAAACACACCACAGAGCAACACCACCACCACCACAGAAACAAAGAGAUCCACAAAUAACAACAACAAAAAACAAAAAAUAGAAUCUUUUAAUUGUUGAGAGAAACAAAGGAGAGGGAUGAAGAAAAAAAGCCCUAAUUUCUGAAUAAAAAAAAAAAAAACAGAGGAGGAGAGGGCGAAGGCAGGAGGGCGGCGACUAUGGCGCAAGAGGAGUGACAGGCGGGAGAAGCAGCGUCAGGUGAGAGGCGCUGGGGUCGCCGGAAAGAGGAGCCGCGUCGGUGGCUGAAUUAUUGGGGGAGAGCUAGGGCUCGAAAUUUGCAGAAGAGGGGGAAGGGGAGGAGGCGGAGGCGGCGGCGGCGGCGGCGAGCCCUAAUUCAUGGGGGAGCGGAUUUACAGAGGGGGAAGUGGAGGAGGCGGAGGCGGCGGCGGCGGAACAAAGGGGGAAGAGGGAGGCGGCGCCGGUGGAACAGAGGGGAAGUGAGCGGCGGCGCCGGUGGAUUUGCAGAGGGAAAAUGGUGGAGCGACGAGGGAGAAUGAGGGAGAUGGUAGAGAGAGAGAGAGAGAGAGAGAGAGGAGUGAUGUAAUUUGGAGGGGUAAGUUUAAUUAGAAUAUGUUUAAGUGAGAGUUAAUUAGCCUUAAAAUUUACCCAAAAAGGAAAUGGGACAAGAUUAUUGGGACAACCCAAAAAGAAAAGUGGGACAAGAUUAUUGGGACGGAGGGAGUACAAUAUUCAAGAGCCAUAAGGUGUCUCCAACAAUGAUCCCAAUUUUUAGUUUUUAAAUUGCUACACCAUUGCCACAUCAACUUUAGAAAUUCACCUAUUUUUUUUUUCAAAUCUCCUCCAACAAUAAACUAAUUUUUUAUUUUUUCAGGGUCCCACCAUAAUACACACUCCCUCGAUAUAUCUAUAUAUGUAUAUAUUUCUUAAUUAAUUUUAUUUGUAUUAUUAUUUAUAUACUUUAAUAAUAUUUUUAAAUUAAAAUUCUAUAUUUUAAUUAUCUAAUUUAAUAAAAUAAAUUUAAAAUUCUAAAUUAUAAUUAAAAUUACAUUGCAAAAAUUUAAAUUACAUCAAUUGAAAGUACAUAAACAUAAUAAUUCAAACUAAUUUUACUUAAUUGGAGCCAUCUGUGACAUUGAAUUGUGCCCAAAUAUGUUGUGUCAAAUCAUGUUGAAGUUGGAGAUGUGUUUGUUUAUUUGUUAAAUCGUUGUGAUUUUGGAGAUAAUUUUCAAAUGCUUCCCAAUUAUUAGUACCCAUUGGUAUUGGUUGCUGAGAAGUUGCAUCUUCGUCAGACCAGUUGACCGCUUCUUCACCCUCAUCCUCAAUGAUCAUAUUGUGUAAAAUAAUACAUAUGAGCAUUAUAUUGCGAAGGUCUUCCUUGAAAUAAGACCGCGCUGGAUUUCGAACUACGGCAUGAAAUAGUUGGAACUUGAAAGGAUUGUUGGAUGUAAAUUGUGGAGGAAAAUUUGUUCCAGUAGGAGAGUUGAAUGGAAAUUGUUGAGAAUAAAUCGAACCACCAGGAGAGUUGAAUGGAAAUUGUUGAGGAAAAUUCGGAGACAUUUGAUAAUUGUAUGAAAAUUGUUGUUGAGGGUAAGACAUUUGGUGAUAUUGUGAAUUUGAAAAAUAAGAAUUUUGAAAAUUUUGAGAGCUUGAAUUACUUGAGUCGGAAUUUUGAGAGCUUGAAUCCGCCAUUUUAAUUGUAGUGAAAAGAAUUUUGGAAAUAAGAAGAAGAUAGAUUGUUGGGAAGAUGUGUGAAUAAUGAAAAUUGAAGUGAAGUAUAUAUAGAAAAUUUUAAAAAAUUUCCGUUGUUAUUAGAAUUAGCCGUUAUAAAAUUAUAUAUAGCCGUUGCUUUUUUACAAUGCAAAAUAAAACAUUCAAAAUAAAAUACUAGAAUACAAUGCAAAAUAAUUAAAACACAUAUAAUAAAAAAAAAUAAAAAAUAAAAGACCACAAUGUGAAACAACUGAAGCCAUACUCCCAUAUAAUUCAAAUAGCACGCUUUUCAAUGAGAAAAAGUAGGCUAGAAAAGCAAAAAGAAAUGGCUGCCAGAAAAAGUAGAAUUGAAGAAAGUGGAAUUUGGUGGGCUUUGGUUAAGGUUGUCUUUCGUGGAAAGAAGUUUAGAAACCAGUUCUUUGUUUGCUCUUGGUUUCUCGAUUUUUUCGAAGAAACCAGUUCCUAGUUACUCCAAUGCUAAUUCUUUGUUUUAGAAAUUGGAAAAACUUAUCUUUGGAGGCACCCUAAUAUUGAAAACUACCCACUUCAACUAGUAAGUGCAUGCAAAACCACCAAAAUGAUAUUCACUAUACCACAUUUCAUGCCUUAGUGUGUCCUACUUUCAAUUUUGUUUCGUUUCUUUAUAUAUUUUUUUUUGUGGUUUUUGCAAAUAAAAUCACGAACAAUUUUAAAUGUGCAAUUUUAACGUGGCUUUUGAAGUAUGGCGAAUUAAAUCAUAACCUUUUCAAUUUUCGCAAUUUCAUCCCCUCAAUUUUUUCCGGCCACCGGAGUGAUGAGUUGGAGCUUAUGUGGAUUAUUUUUUUUCACGUAAUUAAUUUCUAACUAAGAUUAAAUUGCUGACUAAGAUUAAAACAAAAUCAAAACCUAAUGCUUUUAUUUUACUUCUUUUUCGUCUUUUAUAAAAAUAUAUUUGAUGUGUAUCUUAAGUUAAAGAUCAUGACAAGAUCUUCAAUUUGAUUUAAAAUUCAUUAAAUAUGAAUUUGAAAUAAAUACUUUAUUAUAAUUUAAAAUUUUAAAGUGAUUGUUUUUCUCUCUCCCAUCUCUUUUACAAUAUUCUUUAUUUUUUUCUCUUUCUCCUUAUUUUGUUAUUAUAUUAUUUCCAUUUGUAUCUCUUUCUCCUACAGAAUUUAUAUAUCUUCUCUUCUCUUUUGAUUAAAAAAAACAUAAUAUUUAUUUGUUGAAUUAUUUUUAUCAAAGUAUACAUAUAAAUAUUUAAAUUAANAAUAUCGAGACAAUAUUAUAAAAGUAUUUAUUAAUUUUAAUUUUAAUAGAAAAUAAUAAUCGAUAACAAAAAACUUUCGGUAAAUUUAAUUAUUAUUAUACAAUACUCAUUGAACGUAAUAUUAUACUCCUACUCAUUAAGUUGAUAAAAUUAUUACUAUACACUAUUUUAAAUCAAGUACUAAUAUUUAAAUUAAUAUAUUUUUUGUUAUUAAUUAAUUUGAUUCACAAAUAAUAAUAUUUUUACAUAAUUUCAAAUUUUAAAAAUAAAUAAAUAUAUCGCGGCCGUGUAUCGUACGGGAGGGCGUACUAGUUUAAGGAAAAUGGGGGAUACUGAAAUAAGUUCGACGAAAAAGAAGAAAAAUAAAAGAAUUAGGUUUUGAUUUUAUUUUAAUCUUAGUCAGAAAUUAAUUACGUGAAAAAAAAAUCCACAUAAGCUCCAACUCAUCACUUCGGUGGCCGGAAAAAAUUGAGGGGAUGAAAUUGCAAAAAUUGAAAAGGUUAUGAUUUAAUUUGCCACAUUUUAAAAGUCGCGUUAAAAUUGCAAAUUCAAAAUUGUUCGUGAUUUUAUUUGCAAAAACCUUUAGUUUACUUUUGUGAUUAUUAAUUAGGAUUUAUUCCAUCAAUUUAUGGUAUAUAAUUAUUUUUUAUUAUUUAAUUUCAUUUUGAGUAGCUAAUUAAUAAUUGGUUGAUAAAUUCAAAGCCAUGGUAUAUAUAUAUACUUUUUAAAAAAUUUACUUUUUUGAAAUAAAAAUUAAUUAUUGUCAUAUCCCGACUUUUAAUCAUUGGUCAAAUGUUUAAUUAUUGAUAAUUAGGGUUCAACAUCCAUUAAUAAAAUUUGGUCUUAUGUAUCUGUUGUGAUUUAAUUUUGUUUGAUGUGAUUGAUUUUAUUUAUUUGAAUCCAAUUGAAAUUUAAAGGAUUUUAUGCAUAAGUUUUAAUUCGUGAGUUAAGUGUAGUUAUAUGAAUUACAUGAAUUUUAAAUUUUGCAUGAAGUCAUAAAUUUUUCUUUAAAUGAGAUAUUAUUUUUUUAUUAUCAAUCAAGAGUUAUAUUUUAAUAAUUUUAUUAAAGAUCAUUUUAUUUAUUUAUUAAAGUCACAAGUUUUAUUUAAAUUUUGAUGGUACAUUUUGCCCACUAAUUUUCUUAGUGUGCUUAAUUCACAUCCAUUUGAUACCCACAUGUUUUAAUUAGUUAACCUUAUCUCAUAACCACCCACUUGCCAUAUCCUAUUAAUUUAACUUCUAAAUAUCUACUCAUCAUUAUCCAGCUUCCUCAUUAAGCAACACUAUUAUCUUCCUCUAGAAGCUAAACAUUGUUCUCACCCACCCUUACCGUCUUCUUUGAAAUUUCACAUCUUUUUUUCACCUUCAACUCCCUAACUAAUUUCAAUCAAGAUUCAAGGUAAGUGCGAUUUAUAUUUAUUCAUCUUAUUAGUCAAUUUCAAGAAAUACCUUCAUACACUUAUGCCAUGCAGCAUUUCUGCAGAAUUUUUAUAACAAUUUUGCUUCCUCAAGGUCUACUCCAAAAUUGAACCACCAAACACAAAGCAAACUACUUAUGAUUCUUUAUAUGUUUAUAUGAUUCUGGAAUUUACACAUGUGGUGUUUAUUGUAAGAAAUACACAGAUAGACAAUUACAAAUCUUGAUGAAUAUAAACUCUUAUAUGAAAUCCUACAACUGUUGUCGUUUUGAAUCGUGGCUGAGCCCCUAUGUAGAUGUAUGUGUGAGUGUCGAGAUCGGGGAGGCGGCAGCCCGAUGACUCGUCGUCGGUAGGCGGCUGAGGCAUGAUGGCGGCGGAGCCGCCACUGUUUCUGUUCGGCCGAAAGGGGAGAAAGGGAAGGGGAUAGAAGAUUUCAGUUUUUCGUUGAAUAAAAGAUAUUAUUAGGGCUUCAAUUUAAUUAAUUAUCUUCAUGAAAUUAAUUCGUGGUUAAAUAUUAUCUUCAUGAAAUUAAUUUAUGUCUAAUCCUCUUUCUUUCCGGCUUCUUAAUUCUCACUCUGAGUCAUAAAUCCCGGUUAAUCCAUCCUUAUGGAUAGUGGGCUGUGACAAUUAUAAUUCAUAGUAUUAUAAUAAAUUUUAUUUUUAUAAAAAAUAUUCUUAAAAUAAUAUAUAUAAGCAUGAGAUACAGUGACACAUUAUUGUAAUUACAUCAUUGUAAUUUUCAUCAUCAAUAUUAAUAUUAUAGUGUUUGUACGUAUACGAAAUAUUUAUAGAAAUUAAUGCAAGAGUUCAACGACAACGAGUACGUACAACACAUUCACAAGUUCUCAAAACAACAAUAUUAAUAUGCAAGCGCAGGCCAGAAAGCUUUUACAUAGUUGGAAACAGAAAGUGCAUUAAUUAAGGAUAAACAGAAACUGGAAAUCAGUGGAGCUAGAGACCAAAAUCCGAGACCGACAUUUGUUGAAGUAGCUUAGCAGAAGAGUUCUGUAAGAACAUUCUCGCUCAGAAGAGAAAUCUUCAAUAACUUUAUAGCCUAACCAAAAAAGAAGACCAUCGUCAAAUCAGGUGCUACUAUAAUCCAAAUAAAAGUAUAUAUUAGUACUAAGACAAGAAAGAAAAUAAAUGAGUUAAACAAGAAGAGAUGAUACCUCCUUCAUUCCCAAAUGGACAACUUCUUCCUUCAAAGCACCGAUAUAAUUAACAUUAUUGAGCAGCGCAAUGCCGGAGAUAGUAGACAUGGGUUUGAUCUCCAAAUCAUCCAUCACCAUGUAAGUCACUACACCCUUCACCAAACCGGCGUUUCUCGACACCACUUGCCCAUUUUCCGGUAUUUUUUGAAAGCCUUGCUGAAGUAUGUGAUGGCUAAUGUUUCUAGUGGACACAUCCUUAAGAGCCAGCUGUGGAAGCAAAGAAGCGGAGACCGGUUUGAGAUAGAAGUCCUUUUUCUUGUUGGGUUGUAUGUAGUCGUCGUCGAGAUUUUCUAAGCUUGUGUAGAGGUUGGGCAAGGAGCCCUGCAUCCCUUCCUCUUUGAGCAAGCGAAUGAUGGUGGAAACCGGCAGAGACAGUAUGUUGAAGAGGAAAUCCACGCAGUCUUUGCCGGCCUCCGCGAAUACCACUCGAUUCCUUCUCGUGUCGAUCAGCAGCUUCAUGCUCACCGUCGGUUCCGCCAUGCCUUUUGCUGUCUCAUCUAAUCGAUCAUCACUUGUUGUCUCAUUUAUAUAUUGAUAUUUGGUUGUGGUGUAGCGUGUUUGCACAAACACAAGUUGUGCAGCUGGGAGGCCAACUUGCUGAGAGAUUUCGAGAAUCAUUAAUUGUGAUGGGUUAGGUGGAAUAGGGAGAGCCUUGCCUUGCCUUGCCUAGUCUAAUUCAACAUACUGUAGAGCUCAUUAAUUUCACAGGAAACUAAAAUUAUUUCAAAAUUUUAACUUUAGCAUUGUGCUAAUAGCGGAAAUCAUCACUUGAGAUUCAGAAUAGGAAUGAGAUCUAGAUCUAGAUUCAGAAUAGGAAUAAGCUCAUAAUUAAAGUUUCGAAUAGAAGUUUGUAAACGCAUAUACAACUGCAAUAAAGCCACCUACAUAUUUAGCUUCUAAAUGGACGCAUCACGACAGCCAACAGCCAAACAAAACUUAUCAAAAGGAGAAAUGGAACAUAAGGAAAACAGAUGAGAUAGCAUGCUGUAAUCUGGAUCAACAUUUCUUCAACUCAUCGAUCGCAUCACAGAAGACUCGUGUAAGAACGUUCUUAGUCGUGAGAGAAGUCUUCAACAACUUAAUCGCCUAACGAAAAGGAAGUGAUCACAUUCGAGAUCAUUAAAGUGUUAGAUAUCAAAUACUAUUAACACAAAUACACACGUAUACACUAUGAUAGUUCAUAAACUGUAGAGACAAACUUCAAAAACAUGCUCAUACACUACGGUUUUAUAGGAAUCGUAGUAACAGACUACUAUAAACUACAGUUUUUACUACAUUUAGUUCUCCAGCGUAGUCUAAAAUUAAAAAAUGGCGCUCACGCACUACAGUUCACCAAAAAGACCGUAGUCUAUAUGAAUAAACUACGGUUUUAUAUAAAACCGUAGUUAUAAGGGUGUAGAGAUAGCCUAAAUUUGUAGUAAUGUAUACUAAAUGAAAGAAGCAGAAAAUGAUACCUCAUUCAUUCCUAAAGUGACAACCUUUUCCUCCAAAGCACCAACCUCCUUGACAUUAAACUUAUUGAGCAGAGUAAUGCUGGAGAUAGUAGACAUGGGCUUGAUCACCAAAUCAUCCAUCACCAUGUAUGUCACCACCCCCUUCACCAAACCGCCGCCUUCCGCCGCCUCUACCACCGCGGGAGGAGCCACAUAGGUCAUAGUCGAGCUCAGAACCCCACGGCACGAAGGACAAGUGGCGCGGGGGUCAUCAGAAACAUAAUUGCCACAAUUUCUACUAUUGUAAUUAUAAUUGGUGCACUUGUAAAAUACCCUCUCAAUUUGAGAACCAGUGAGGGCCAGAAGCGGAACUGAGGAACCGGAGACCGGCGCCGCCGGUUUCAGAAACGCCUCCUUGUUCUUGCCCGGGAGUAUGUAGGUGUCGUUGAGAUCUUCUAAGCUUUUGAAGAGGUUGGGGAGAGAGCCCUCCAUUCCUUCCUCUCUGAGAAGGCUGAUGACGGUGGCAAGCGGCGCAGACAGUAUGUGGAAGAGGAAAUCCACGCAGUCUUUGCCGGCCUCCGCGAACAAGACGCGUCUCACUUUGCUAGUGUCGAUCAACAGCUUCAUGCUCACCGUCGGAUUCGCCAUUAAUCUUUUUGUGUAUCUGAUGGCUUGAUCUUCUUCUUGGGUGGGUUACUCUAUUUCAACUCAUCACCAUUCAUUUAUAUAUAGAGAUUAGAUGCUGGCAAACUAGUUCCAUCGGAUUGGUGCAGAUGACAAGCUUAGUGAAGUAAUAAUGCUUGCGUUUCUAUUUAAUUAUCAUAAUGAGAGAAAUUGGGUUACCGUUACUGUUGAUAAAUAUUAAGGGAAAUUAGCUUUCUUUCGCGUAAAAUUAUUUUUACGCCGCAAAAAUUAAUUUACUUAUUAUUUCAAAUCGAAACGUACAAUAUUCAGGAAUCAGGAGUCAUAAAAGAAUAAUUCGACUUUCAAAUCCUUCCAUCUUGAGAAGCUAAAAAUAUUGUUAGUAUAUUGUAUGAAUAGUGCGUGUACGUUAAUAUUGAAAACUACCCACUUCUCCAAUAUGCAUCGUGCAUAAUGUAACUACAUUGUAAUUAUCAUCAUCAAUAUGAAAUAUUUAUAGAAAUUAAUGCAAGACUUCAACGAGUGCAAUAAAAUUCAUAAGUUCUCAAACAAACAAUAUUAGUAAUUUGCAAGCGCAGGAAACAGAAAGUGCAUUAGUUAAGGAUAAACUUCAACUGAUCAGAGGUUUAUACUGGACAUCGAUGGAACUAGAAGCCGAAAUCCGUGACUUGAACUAGCUUAGCAAAAGAGUUCUGUAAGAACAUUCUUGCUCUGGAGAGAAAUCUUCAAUAACUCCAAAGCCUAACCAAAAAGGAAGAAACCAUUUAAUCAAGCUCGUCAUCAUCAAAUCAGGUAGUGCUUCUGUAAUCCAAAUAAAAGUAUUACUGGACAAGAAGAAACUACUAAAUCACUUAAAGAUGAAGAGAGGAUAGAACAUAUAUAUACCUCAUCCAUUCCCAAAUAAACAACUUUUUCCUUCAAAGCACCCACAUACUUAACAUUGAAGUCAUUGAGCAGAGUAAUGCUGGAGAUAGUAGACAUGGGCUUGAUCUCCAAAUCAUCCAUCACCAUGUAUGUCACCACCCCCUUCACCAAACUGCCGUUUCCCGACACCACUUGCACAUUUGGUGUUGUAUAAUUAAAGCAGUACUUACAUUUUUGUAAGAGUUGUUUCCAGUACUUGACGCAGCUUCGAGAGCCAGCAGCGGAAGCGAAGAAGAGGAGACCGGUUUCAGAUAGAAGUCCUUCUUCUUGUCGGGCUCUAUGUAGUCGUCGUUGAGAUUUUCUAAGCUUUUGUAGAGGUUGGGCAAAGAGCCAUCCAUGCCUUCCUCUCUGAGCAAGCGAAUGACGGUGGCAACGGGCAGAGACAGUAUGUUGAAGAGGAAAUCGACGCAGUCUUUGCCGGCCUCCGCGAAUAGCACUCGCUUCCCUCUCGUGUCGAUCAACAGCUUCAUGCUCACCGUCGAUUCCGCCAUGCCUACUACUGCCUUGCUUCUCUUCUAUUCACC